AGAGCUGCUGUAGGGGGCGGCUGUGUGGUCCUAGCUCCUUGCAUCUUUUUCUAGGCCCAUCGGCCUCGGGCCAGGAGGCAGGGGCGUUUUAGGCUCCGAAGUCUGAAGCCGGGAGGGCAGGAAAGGGAGACAGCAUUUAACCAAAAAAAGCCCUUGUGGAUAGUGCCUUAGUGCCUUUGGUCGUGAAGGAGGGAGGCCACCGGCGGGUUUAUGUGGCUUCUGCCCGAGACGGCCGUUUUUCCCGUUAUAAGCGGGGGAAGAUGAAAAUGGCCGCUGCGUCCCCGCGGUGUUGGGGGAGGGGAGCGAUAUCUUAUUUCGGCGUUGCUCUCCUGCGAAGGUCCGCCGCAGCCAUCUUGGGCUGGCGGGCUGGGCGCGCUGCCAGAGGCACAAAAUGGCGGAGAAGCAGCGCGGCAACGCGGGCCCGACCCGCCGCGGGCCGCGCUUCGUAAGGCAGCGUGGUGGGGUGCAAGGAGACAGACGACGUUCUUUUGGGUCUUUGGGCUGGUGUUCAGGUUAAUGAAGGACCGUCUUUGCCUCCACGGAAAGGAUGGAGUCUGGGAUGUCCUUGGGGCUUCUUAAGAUGGAAACUAAUCCGAGGCCGACUAAGUUCUGGGCCCGUUAGGUGGAGGGGAUUGCGUGAGGGCUUUGUGUUUGGCCUAAAUGAAGCGCUUUUCUCUGAUGCUGAAAGGGCUUCCCAGGCAAGAAUCUGUAUCAGUAUUCUAUUAGGACAGACCACAAAGUCGCUAAGAUGAUUUUGGGGACAUCGCAUUUCCACGGGAUUGUGAAGGAGAAAUUGGCGGGCAACCAUUUACGGCGCCGUUAUUUCCUUUGUUUUGAGGCGUUCUAAUACUUAGAACCACAGCGUGUAUUGGCUACAGUUUUCUUUCCCUUAAGUUUCCACCUUUUAAAGGUGUUCAGUGAGGGUUGGUUGAAUUGCGGGAACAAGACAGUUCUAGGGUUUAAACAGCAUACGUAGCUAGCUGGUCUGUGGGGCCUCUGGGUAUUAGAUUCGGAAAGCAUUGAAUGAUCCGAAGAUACGAGGCUUGCUAGAAUUAAGAGGAAUCUGUUAGAAGGGUAAUAGAAAAGCACCAUAGAAAUUGAUUUUUAAGGCUGUUAUGGGAAUAAUUUGUGUUUUUUUUUUUUUUUUUUUUAAAAACAAUUUGUUACCUAAGUUACCCCUUGUUGGUAAAGCUACCUUAAGAUCUGAAUAUGACUUAUCAGAAUGCUUUAAUAUUGUGGAUAUUGUCUGGAACUAGAACGUGACAUUUUCAAGCUGACAUUACAAGUGAUUUUAUAAGGUAAGUACUACCGGUUUUGCCAGAAGGUUGAAGAGGAAUUCAGGUGGUGGGGGAAGUGUUAAUGGGAUUUGCCUUACACAGCCUUUUUUCUUCUUUCUCUACAAUAAAACCCGAACGUAGGUGGUAAAUAUUAAUGCUUUCAUAGUUAUUUUGCCCAGGACAAGGGCAGAGCUACAGUUGUGUAUAUUUCUUGAGCUUUAGCAUUUUAUGUUGAUCAGUGUUUUUACAUAUGCGACUGUUUUCUUAACAAGGCAUGGUGACUGAUGUUUAGGAAUUUUAAGUGUUCUGACCCAGGUUAGUAUUGGGGGUGUGGGAUAUGUAGAAUUAGAUACUGAAAUCACUUAGUAUUGUUUUUAAACUGCAAACGAAAACAAGUUCUUCACUGUAGCAAAUUAUAGUCUUGAAAUUCCCCCAAAAUCUUUGCUUUGAAUUGGGUUUUGGAGGUUACAUUGAGAUUGAUGUUAUCAGCAUAGAUUGUUACCUGACGGUUUGGAUAAGGGGCCCCUUUUUCUCUUUAAUUUUUGUGGUUAGAAAUUAGGUUAAAAGGUAGUCUUCUGAAAAGUCAAAAGAUACUUACAUUUGCUUUUGUUGGGGAGUAUUGAAUGUUUUAUGAAUGUAAAUUUAACAGUCUGUGCUAUAUUUGCAAGAGAGUUUAUAAGCACGGGCCUACAACUAAUUUCAGAUGAUGGUUUUUUCCAGACACUAUUCUCCAGUUUUUGAGGAUUUAUCUAUCCAUUCACCCUUCUGGUAGACAGUUUGGCUGCCAGAAAAAAAUAUAGUCCUUAUUAUAUUGAUAUGAGCAUUGACCUUUCCAUAACAGGAUUAAUGAGUUUUUUUCUUUCCCUCUUUCCCUCCCAAUUUUUAAAAUAUUGCCUUGUCAGUCAACUGAAUGAGUUUGUGCAUGUUUAAUGUUAAAUGGAUUCUAGUUGUAUCCCCUAGAAACAUUUUAACAAAAAUUGUGUUGAUAGGACAAGUUUCUGUUUAUUUCUAACUAGGGUCUCUUAACUAAAUGUACAUAACAUUAGCCCAAGAGUUGGUCUUCUGGUUUUAUAAAGUAGCCACUUGAACUUAGCUGAGUUGAAAUAAAUCUAAUAUUUAUAAUGAUUUAGUAAUGGUUUUGUUCUUAGACUAUAAGAGAAGGAACCAGGUUAGGAAGGGGUAAUGAAAUAACAGCAGGAAGGUAUCCACAUUGAAAACAGUUGUGAUAGCUAGACCUAUGGCCUCUAUUCUUGUAUCUUCUGCAUCUAAGUGCCCUGUCUGUAUUGAAGUUUUAGGAGGCCCUAAGGAAACCUGCUUGGGCAUUCUGAUUCCAUGAUUACAUUUGUGCUGCCAGAAAACAUUUCCCAUUGCAUUUUAGUGAUGGAUAUUUAAAGAAAACCAAUUACUGUAACUCCCUUAAAUAAAAACAUAUUUAAAAUUUUUUGGAUUAAAUAAACAAUAAUUGACUUUAAAACUAGAUUGGAAAUUAUCCUUUUGUUAGGAAAGACAUCACAGCACUUGCCAGGUUAACGAUGGUUGUCUUUAUGCCCAGAUAGGUAUAAAGACUUGUAAUUUUUUUAAACAAAGCCUUGCAUUUUUUUCAGGAGGAAAAACCAGGAGAGGAAAUAAUUGACAAUGAAAUGAAAGAUCAUCAAAGUGAAAUGUAGGAUAACAAGAAAAACUAGCAUGUUUUAUGGAGGCAGUAUUUUAUUUUGUUUAGUAUGUUCAACAGACAUUUACAGAUGAACUAAAUUGAGUCUUUUUAAUUAUUUGAGGAGGUGAGCUAUAAUUUAAAUAGUGCCACCUUUUAAAGUAGUAUUUCUCCUUUGGACAUCCAGAAGACUUAAUAUUUUCUUCAUUGAGGGGGAAAAUGUACAACAAAACUCUUUGAAAAUACCAGUGUUGGAUUCAAGUUUGUUCUGCUUUCCUUCAUAGCUACUGGCAUAUUGUAGGUGGUUGACUUGAUUUUGUCUUUUUAUGAUUCAUACUAUAAAAUCUCACUAGAGCAGCUUUUCCAGGGGGUGGGUUACACUUCAGUUCCAAAUUGUCAGGUUCCCUGACACCGUCUUUCUACAGAGCUCUUUAAAUACAGUACAAAAAUGUGUGACGCUAAAUACGUUUCUUUAUCCUAUCUAGACAAGUCACAAUACUGUAAACCUCUUCAACCCUGAGCGUUUGUCAUUGUACAAAUCAAUUGUCCGUGCUUUCCUUUCAUGCACUUAUGUAUUAAUGUGUCACUUUUUGACUAGAGGUGUGCUUUUGACACUUAACCUAUUUUCUGUUGAAUAUAAUAAGUGUGAAAUGUAACUAAUAGUUCUUAAAAUGUUAAAUGAACAGUAAAUGUUCAGUGGCGCACUUCACAUUCAACUUAAGCAUGAUAAAUCUAUUUGGAGUAGAGAAAUGAGAUUGAUUACCAUAUAUUCUAGAACCAGCAGAAAACUAUGUAGUUUCAGUUUUUUGAGCUGCAUAUUCUGGUUUCUUUUUUUUUUUUUUUUUUUAAA
Long non-coding RNA from Symphalangus syndactylus (siamang), 3778 nucleotides. RefSeq lists it as uncharacterized. Lineage: Eukaryota; Metazoa; Chordata; Mammalia; Primates; Hylobatidae. The record is from RefSeq and is a predicted model, not a curated record.